Molecule: ribosomal RNA, 253 nt
Filed under: uncultured bacterium
Lineage: Bacteria
Description: partial 16S ribosomal RNA
Rfam family: Bacterial small subunit ribosomal RNA
Source: RNAcentral
UACGUAGGGUGCGAGCGUUGUUCGGAAUCACUGGGCUUAAAGGGCGCGUAGGCGGGCUGUCAAGUCUGGGGUGAAAUGCCGCGGCUCAACCGUGGAACUGCCUCAGAUACUGACGGCCUCGAGGAAGGUAGGGGCAUGCGGAACUGUAGGUGGAGCGGUGAAAUGCGUUGAUAUCUACAGGAACUCCGGUGGCGAAAGCGGCGUGCUGGACCUUUUCUGACGCUGAGGCGCGAAAGCUAGGGGAGCAAACGGG